AAGUAAACAUCAAAAUCGUCAGAUCUUUUCUACGUGUAUGUCAGUGUAUAUUUACAUAUUACAAUGUUUUUCUAUUUCAAUUUUGUUUUUAUUACAGUGUCAUCUUUUGUUUUACAUUGUUUACCAGUUAAAGGUCGUAUUCAUUUAAAGAUCUACUAUAUGUAUGUACUGUACAUUAGGACUUCAAAGCAAAGCUAGAUGCAUGAUAAAUGUUAGUUUACGCUGUAUCUUAUUUUUCUCAAGAAACCAGUUUUUUUUCAUCUCUUUCUUAAGUUAAACCAAACUUUGAGUUUUCUAUCCUGAAUGACAAAAUCUUGGAAAAGUUUGGUAAAGAAUUAAUUACAAUUUGCAUUCUAAUGCAAUAAUAAAU
RNAcentral lists this long non-coding RNA (370 nucleotides) under Mytilus galloprovincialis (Mediterranean mussel). Lineage: Eukaryota; Metazoa; Mollusca; Bivalvia; Mytilida; Mytilidae. The record is from RNAcentral.